AAAGGAAGCACCGGCUAACUCCGUGCCAGCAGCCGCGGUAAAACGGAGGGUGCAAGCGUUGUUCGGAAUCACUGGGCGUAAAGCGCGUGUAAGCGGUUCGAUAAGUCGAGUGUGAAAGCCCGAGGCUCAACUUCGGAAGUGCAUUCGAAACUGUCAAGCUUGAGUACGGGAGAGGGAAGUGGAAUUCCUGGUGUAGAGGUGAAAUUCGUAGAUAUCAGGAGGAACACCGGUGGCGAAAGCGGCUUCCUGGACCGAUACUGACGCUGAGACGCGAAACCGUGGGGAGCAAACAGGAUUAAAUACCCGGGUAGUCCACGCCGU
Molecule: ribosomal RNA, 321 nt
Filed under: uncultured Desulfomonile sp.
Lineage: Bacteria; Pseudomonadati; Thermodesulfobacteriota; Desulfomonilia; Desulfomonilales; Desulfomonilaceae
Description: bacterial SSU rRNA
Rfam family: Bacterial small subunit ribosomal RNA
Source: RNAcentral